UAGCUACGGCGAGUGAAGAGGGAAGAGCCCAAGAUUGAAAGCUGGCGUCUUCGGCGUCCGCAUUGUAAUCUCAAGAAGUGUUUUCCGCUUCGGACCAUGCCUAAGUCCCUUGGAAAAGGGCAUCAUAGAGGGUGAUAAUCCCGUACAUGGCAUGGAGCGCCCGAAGCUUUGUGAUACGCUUUCUAAGAGUCGAGUUGUUUGGGAAUGCAGCUCAAAAUGGGUGGUAAAUGCCAUCUAAGGCUAAAUAUUGGGGAGAGACCGAUAGCGAACAAGUACAGUGAUGGAAAGAUGAAAAGAACUUUGAAAAGAGAGUUAAACAGUACGUGAAAUUGCCAAAAGGGAAGGGCAGGAGGUCAGAGAUGCGGCCUGGGAUUCAGCCUUGCUUUUGCUUGGUGUUUUUCCCAGAUUGCAGGCCAACGUCGGUUUUGGGCACUGGAAAAGGGUAGGAGGAACGUGGCACCUCUCGGGGUGUGUUAUAGCCUCCUACUGGAUACGGCGACCGAGACCGAGGACAGCAGCGUACUCGCAAGAGCGGGCCUUCGGGCACCUUUACGCUUAAGGCGUUGGCAUAAUGGCCCUCUACCACCCGUCUUGAAACACGGACCAAUCUUU
This 612-nucleotide ribosomal RNA is filed under the name uncultured Pseudozyma. RNAcentral describes it as "eukaryotic LSU rRNA". It matches the Rfam family "Eukaryotic large subunit ribosomal RNA", at positions 81 to 678 of the family's 3401-position model. The record is from RNAcentral. Lineage: Eukaryota; Fungi; Basidiomycota; Ustilaginomycetes; Ustilaginales; Ustilaginaceae.